This is a long non-coding RNA of Etheostoma spectabile (orangethroat darter), 548 nucleotides long. RefSeq lists it as uncharacterized. The transcript has 3 exons. Lineage: Eukaryota; Metazoa; Chordata; Actinopteri; Perciformes; Percidae. The record is from RefSeq and is a predicted model, not a curated record.
AAAGUGAAAGUGAUAUCAGAUGGCGGCUCAACGUGUGUGAAAGGGUUCUUCUGUUUGGCUCAGAAGGCUCUGGUGGAUGCCAAUGUAUCAUCAACCAAUAAUGUACCAGAUGCAGAAAGGCUCAUCCGUCAGUUGAAAAAAUUAAACGAAAAGAGUGGUAAUACCAAUUGUACCCUGAACACAACCGACAAAUAUCCCCUAAGCGAUCUUCUCAUAGACAUCAGCGAAUGUACACAGCUGUGCAAGGAACACCUCAUCCAAUGUUUGAAUAAUUCGGAGUGAUCAUAUGUAUUAUUUAACAGAUGUAAUCUACAUAACUUAUUUCUAUUUAUUGCAAAUGUAAUAUUUAUUUUCCUACAUAUCUUAUUUUUGUAGUGUUUUUAUUUAUACAUCAAUAAAUUAUACUGGCCCAUUGGUUUGUCGUUUGAGUCCGUCUUGUUCACAGCAUGCCUGCUAUGUUGUAGGUAUCAGCGAUCUAUCCUCAUCAUUCAAGUCCAACGGUCUAGUCAACCACACUUUUCACACUGAACAAUUUUUUAACAUGACUA